GAUGAACGCUGGCGGCGUGCCUAAUACAUGCAAGUCGAGCGAACGGACGAGAAGCUUGCUUUUCUGAUGUUAGCGGCGGACGGGUGAGUAACACGUGGAUAACCUACCUAUAAGACUGGGAUAACUUCGGGAAACCGGAGCUAAUACCGGAUAAUAUUUUGAACCGCAUGGUUCAAAAGUGAAAGACGGUCUUGCUGUCACUUAUAGAUGGAUCCGCGCUGCAUUAGCUAGUUGGUAAGGUAACGGCUUACCAAGGCAACGAUGCAUAGCCGACCUGAGAGGGUGAUCGGCCACACUGGAGCUGAGACACGGUCCAGACUCCGACGGGAGGCAGCAGUAGGGAAUCUUCCGCAAUGGCGAAAGCCUGACGGAGCAACGCCGCGUGAGUGAUGAAGGUCUUCGGAUCGUAAAACUCUGUUAUUAGGGAAGAACAUAUGUGUAAGUAACUGUGCACAUCUUGACGGUACCUAAUCAGAAAGCCACGGCUAACUACGUG
Molecule: ribosomal RNA, 496 nt
Filed under: uncultured bacterium
Lineage: Bacteria
Description: partial 16S ribosomal RNA
Rfam family: Bacterial small subunit ribosomal RNA
Source: RNAcentral